GGCGAUUCUCGGGUGACACACCCCGGAAUCGGGCUCCCUCCUCUCUGGUUCCAGGGUCACCACAGUUCAGCA
Myotis brandtii (Brandt's bat) is the source of this 72-nucleotide non-coding RNA. Lineage: Eukaryota; Metazoa; Chordata; Mammalia; Chiroptera; Vespertilionidae. The record is from Rfam.